RNAcentral lists this ribosomal RNA (253 nucleotides) under uncultured bacterium. RNAcentral describes it as "partial 16S ribosomal RNA". It matches the Rfam family "Bacterial small subunit ribosomal RNA", at positions 524 to 776 of the family's 1533-position model. The record is from RNAcentral.
UACGAAGGGUGCAAGCGUUAUUCGGAAUCAUUGGGCGUAAAGGGUGUGUAGACGGUAUGUUAAGUCUGUUGUUAAAUGCUCCAGCUCAACUGGAGAUCUGCGGUGGAAACUAACAUGCUAGAGGGUGGAAGAGAGAAGUGGAAUUCUCGGAGUAGCGGUAAAAUGCGUAGAUCUCGAGAGGAACACCAAUGGCGAAGGCAGCUUCUUAGUCCAUACCUGACGUUGAAACACGAAAGCGUGGGGAGCAAACAGG